AUUUCUUUAUAGGAUUUAUAGCUGUAAUUUAUUCAUUCUUUAAAUACUUUCAUUUCCAGGUUCUUGCACAGAAAUAUGAGAAAAUGGAGAUCAUAACAUUUUCAAUGCAGUAAAUUUUAUUAAUUAUAGCUUCUAGGGUCUAUUCUGCAGGUCUUUUUAGAGACUGAAGUCCAAUAAAUAAAUGUAUGUUUGCUAACUUUCUCUGGAGUCAUAUCUAGAUGACAUUUAUUUUAAAGAUAAACACACAAUGAAAAAAACUAAAACAACAUUAAACAAGAAUAGAAUGUUUGCAAUAUGCAUAGAUUUACAAAGUGAGAGUUCUUAGCUGAGAGAGUAACUUUCUCCACUUCCAGCAAUUAUAUAUAGUUGUCAUCUUACCAUAUUUUCAAAUUAAUGUCCAAAAUAAGCCAUGAUUCCACUACAAAUAUAACUUCAUCAGUGAACAAUAAUCAAAGAGAUUUCCCUGAACUAAAACAAUGCCUCUAGUUUAUAUAAUAAACAGGACUAUUCAAAUCUGCUCUACAGCUUGACUGGGCCAAUUUAUAAAACUGGAAUCACGAUUGACCAUGACCAUCUGUAUUUCUCACAAUGCCCUUCCUGUCCUCUCCAUCUUUUCAUACAGGCAUACCUGGAUGCUAGUUAAUCAUUAAUUAAUUUGGAAUCUUCUGACUGCAGCUCAUGGGCUAAGACCUUUCAUGAGCUCUACAUUCACUUGAAGCUAUGGCCUUGAGUGGAAUUAUUCUGACUUUCACUUUGACAAUACAGAGAGAUCUGUGCAGUAAUCAGCUCCUAAGACAAGAGUGGAAGGAAAUGGUGCUCCAAGUGCCCUGCAGUUGUGUGUGCAUUUGGGCCUCAGUUAUGAACCUAAGCAAUGCCAGAUCUCUGCUGUAUCUAGAAUUUUGAUGAUUGUUGGUGUAUUAUAGUCACUUAUUACCAGGAUAAUAUUUAGGAUGAAACCAAGUGUUCCUAAAUAUCUUCUUGUAUUCUUAUGCAUCAUCAGAACACUUAUGACAAGCUCAAUGAAAAUAAACUAUGGAUAAAACCAGCAUUUGCAUUUAAGAAGAGGCCAUUUCUUUAUUUGAACAUGUCAUCAAACAAAUGUAAUUAAAUAAUAUUAAGUAAAAAGAUGGAUAGUGACUGUUGUUAAAAAGUCUGCUUUUCCUCACAGCUUAUGAUGCUUACACUGCUGUAGGCUCUGAAAAGAGCUGUUGUUAAACAGUGCUGUGAUAGCACGGUCUCAGCAUCCUCACUUCUGAAAAAUAUAGAUACUAAGUAAUUUAAUAUUGGUAUUUAGAACCACAGACUCAAAAGAUAAAAUUUACAAACAACAAACUUAGAAAAUGUAGGAGCUUGCUUUGUAAGGAUUUGGGGUUUGGACUAGGUCCACACAUUUAAUGCAUAUUUUGACACAAGUUAAAUCCAAAAUGCAUAAUUCAUUGAAGAGUACAACAUUCCUCAAUGAUAUUUGUGGGUUAAUAAUUAUAUGUACCUCUUAACACUACACUCAGUCUUUAUAGCCAGGAAGAUGGAUUCUUGCAAUUGCAUUUAAUGCUAUAAAUAGAAUAAACAUUUGCACAGAAACUCUUAUUUUUUUAAGAAAAUUCUCUCAAUUUUAUAGUGUUGGAAUUACAUUUUUUUAAACAAUUCCUUUUAAAAUUUCUUUUCCAUAUAGUAUGGCCUUCUCUUUAUCACAAAUUAAAUACAGAAAAAGGUGAUUUCUAAGAACUUCUCCACAUAAAGCAAUGCACAUUAAGUUCUUGUGUACUGUGGGCAGAAAUAAUUACAAAAAAAAUCCUGUUGUUAACAAGCAAUUAUAGCUCAAAGGAAUUUCAGACAUCUUAUACCUGCUGCCUCUAAGAGACAAUCUCUCAAUCAUUCACAUUCCUAAAUAUUUCUUCACAGUGGGCUACUUUCUAGGGCAAAUAUAAACAGAAAUGCAAUUGUUCUACUCUAUUCCCUCCUGCAUUUUUUCAAAAUCCAACUGGGGUAUUAUCGUAAGUCUCCUUUGAUAUUAUAAAUAUUUCUAUUUUUCACUCAGUCAAAGGCUAUGCAAUUUCAGCUGUUCUGGAUUUUUUUUCUAAUGCUGAAUUUAUGGCAAAAGAAAACUGUCAGUAAAUUCCUAUCCAGAUUUCUCCACUAUAUUAGUUUUGGAGCUUUAGUUAGAAGCAGAGUGAUGGUAAUGUAUAUGUUGCUCUUAUCCCGUUGUUUAAUAUACCAUGACCAUGAUCUCUCCAUUAUAAAGUCAAAACAGAACUGAAAAGGCAGGAGAAUUACUUUGUUUCUACAACAUGUCACUGCUGGGGCUGCAGGGUAUGACUAGACCAGACUAAUAGCCACUUUGGGAUUAUUUCAGACAGUGCUUUAUCCAUCAAGUAUGACUUGUACAACAGAAUAUUUGAAAACAAAGCAAAAAGGACAAGAAUUACAUGUACAUCUAUAGGGGCCACCUACAGGGCAGCAGUGCUUUCAUAGUUCUUGGGCUGGCAGUUACAGUGUUCACAGUCUUUUAAAAAGGGCUCCUCUUACCAUAUACACAAGGGAAGAAAUCAUGAUCCUCCAGGAACUGACUAUUUUCCUGGAUAACUGCACACUGAUGUGCAACUUCAAGGAAAUACUUUGAAAUCACAGAAUUUCCCUGACUAUAAUCUAUAUAGAUAUAUAUAAAAAAACCCAACAAACUAUUUGUUACUGUGAGUUAAAUACAGGUAAGCUGGAACUGAGAGCAUAUUUGUUUGCUAGAAGUCCACCCUGUGACUCAAUGGUCUCAACAUUCAUCUUUCCAUUGUCCAGACAGACUGAUUAAAGCUUUUUCCCAGUGAAGCAGUAUAAAUGUGAAGGGUAAAUUUAAGGCCUCAGAUGUCCUUGAAUAAGUCAUUUCUGAAUUUUCUGUCCAAUAAAAAUCAAUGACUCCUACUUCAUGAGUGUGCUUGGAGAAUAUGCACAAUCAAGAAAGACUUCAACAUCCCUGGUUAAUAGGGCCAUUGAGUGAUGUUUCUGGCAGAUUUGCAGGUUCCAUGAAAUGACUGGGCAGGCCACAGUUGUCCUGAUCAAAGUUUUACAUUCAUUACCAUGGGCUCAAUGCCCAAAAUUACUCAAUAAGCAUUGCUGAAUAUCAAACACAGCUUACUUUGUUUGUACGUGUAUUCACUGUGUUCUGACUCCUUGUUUGCUUGAAGAAAUAGCAAGAAUGCAUAGCUGAAAAGAAAGACAGGGCUUUUUUAUUUUUAUCACAGUCCUGAAAGCCAAAAUCUGGCAGCCCAGAACUGUGGCUUUGGUGCAGUACCUUGUUGUGGCUUUUGAAGAUUCGUCCAAAUAAACACUGCAUUCCUUAGAUCCAAAUCUAGCUAUUCGGACUAUACUUUUUUUCCUAACUAUAGUCCUGCCGACAGAAUAUAACUGCCUUUAUUGCUAUUGAGUUUAGACAGGAUUAGGGGAUCAACAUCCAGUAACUGCUUUGAUGAUGGCAGACGGUAGUCACUUCUUUGAAACUUGGCAGCAGAUAUAUCACCAACCUUUCCAGUAUCUCUGCACUCCACCCCACAAAAACAACUCUCAGGAGGGAACACUAACACAACAAGAAGUACUGCAUCAUCCUCUCUCCCUCUGCUAACCAUGGUAUGCAAUUAUCACAAGGGCUGUCACUGAUCCCGUCCAUGGUUGGCUGGCUGACUCAUUCUGACUGCUCUGUGCCAAAAAAAGUUUUUACUGUUCCUUGCAGCAGUUCUGCCUGAUUUAGAUGAGCUCAUACACGAAUUGCAAGGCACUGAAAGAAGAUGGGAGAACGCUGGAUUCAGAAACAGCAGCUUGGGACCUCAGGGAAUUCUUUACACCAUAUAUUCAACCAGCUUGAAACAAAAUUGAGUUCACUGUCUGCAGCUCACAAAGACAGUAAGCUGAAAGAGUUAAAACAUUCAGCUAGAAACCCACUGACAAAAAUAUUGCUUAACCUCCCCAAACUUAGAAUUGGCAGGUUUUUUUCCCCUUCUGUUAGCAAAAGCACUACUUCCCCAUUACAAACCUCGGCUUAUUUAUAGUUAGAGAGACGUGAAACCUAUGGGCCUGCUUGGGGUGGGGCUCCAAAGGGACUGCCAAGGGAAGGGCUGGGCUGGAGAAAUGGUCCUUUGACCCCUCCAUCGUGCCAGAGCUAAGGUUAAUGUUAUGAGAGAGACACAGCCUCGGGGUCCAGCUGGAGCGGGGCCUUUGGUGGGCUGCCAAAGGAGCAGCAUUACAAACAUGGCUACAAUAUGAACUACACAUGCUUGUGUACCAAACUCCAUCACACAUGGGUAGGAACCCUACCAGUGGCUCUGUCACCAUCAGGAUGACCAUCAGGACCCUUUGAAAGUGAGAGACAAAUUCACAGAGGCCAACAGGGACUGGUAGUGGAGCUUCAGAUCUGCAUAGACCUCAAGUGUUUAAACUCUGGUUCUUCUGCUCAGAGAUUCCGAAGAGGAUUAAACUCAGAGCUUUAUCCAAGACCCAUUUAUCAAAGUUGGACAAAUUAUUUUCAGGCUGAAUAUAGGGCCUUUGACUCAAGAAAAGAUCCAGAUUAUCUGUUUUGCUUAUAAAAUCAUCCACUCCUUGACUGUGUACAUUUUUUUAUAUGUAAGCAAUGCAGAAUGAGUAGCCAGUGUCAGCAUUCUUCCUAAACUUGGUUACUUAUCUGAAACUUAAAUAAUUUCUAAAGCAUAAAGACUAUAACUUUUGAAUUCAUAAUGCUCAAAUGUUUGCUAGAUUAAGAAUGAAUCUUAAAUUGGAAAAGGAUGAAAUGAAGUUUUAUUUAGCAUUCAAAAUACUUGCAUUUUUGAAAGUUACUCAAGUAACCACAAAAGAUAUAAAGAAUUCUCUAUUUCCCAAUUUGAAACAACUUAAGAGUAUACAACUCUUUGCAGAUGCCAAUCUAAAUGUGUCAGCCAGAUGUUUUUUUUCCCUAACACAGUUCAAUUAAAAUGUUUAAUGAAGACCACCCAUGGAAAAUAAUUAGGAAAAAAAAUUCUACUGUAGCUGAGAAAAUAAUCUUUGGAUUUUAAUAUAUAACGAGAGAAAACAGAAUUUAAUACCUCUGUGAGACAAUGAUAUGUCACAGCCACUUCCUAGUAAAUUAAAUAUAUAAAUUAGAAUAUCAGCAAGACAUUAAAAUGCAGAUUGUAGGAAAAGAAAAAACAGAACACAUAAAAAGUUCUGCUUACCUCUGAAAUUAAAAUUAGAAUUUUUUUAAUCUUUUCUAACUUUAGCCAAGAAGCUGAAAUUGAUGUGAGUCAAUGCCAUUAAUUACUUGAGCUUUUACAAUUUAGGUGAUUUUUUUUUUCUUUUCCAUGAAACUAGGUAUCAGCAUAAAAAAUCCAGUUAAAAAUACCAUUAAGAGAAGUUUCCACUUCUGUGGGUAAGACAACAUCUUUCCUCAUGUAAUAUGAGUGCUGAAUGCUGAAGAACACACAGGAAUGUAGGGCAGAAAUUUCUCCCACCCCCAAGUCCAGUCCCCUGUUAUUGUGAAAACCACAUCUUGUAACGCCUACUAUAAACCAAAAUGUUACAUGUGAUAUUGACUGAGAACAGUUAGCUUUCUAAUCUUACAUGUUUCCAUGUGUAUAUAAGGCAAUAAAUAAAUAUGCACUACAAAAAAAGAGUGGGGAUAACAUAAAUUCCUUGGAUCUACUUGCCUUACAUAAAGGGGAAUGGCUGUCAACAUCUCCAUUUGCAUUUGAUUGCACAAAUAAACUAUACCAAAACAUUCUGAAUAAAUAAGAGCUAAUGGAACUUCUGCUCUUUGGAUGAUUUAUCUCAAAAAGAUAUUUGAAGGACAACAUAUCACUAUGACACAUAUAAAAAUAGUAAAUCUAAAGGUCACAAAAGGUAAUUCAACACUCUCCUCUUUCAGAAUCCCACACUCGAAACCAUGUUACUAACUGUAUGCUACAAUUAGAAUAUUGAACUUACAGUUGCACUAAACAGGCUGAAGAUGGUGAACAAAAUAGAACAGAAAAAAAUACUGACAUAAAGGAGCAGAAGUGACAUAGAAGUGAGAGAAACAUAAAGCUCUUUGGGAGAAAGAUAAAAAGCUG
Molecule: long non-coding RNA, 6062 nt
Organism: Poecile atricapillus (Black-capped chickadee)
Lineage: Eukaryota; Metazoa; Chordata; Aves; Passeriformes; Paridae
Exons: 4
Source: RefSeq, a predicted model, not a curated record